RNAcentral lists this ribosomal RNA (460 nucleotides) under uncultured bacterium. Its description in RNAcentral is "partial 16S ribosomal RNA". It matches the Rfam family "Bacterial small subunit ribosomal RNA", at positions 338 to 795 of the family's 1533-position model. The record is from RNAcentral.
CCUACGGGCGGCAGCAGUGAGGAAUAUUGGUCAAUGGACGAGAGUCUGAACCAGCCAAGUAGCGUGAAGGAUGACUGCCCUAUGGGUUGUAAACUUCUUUUAUAUGGGAAUAAAACGUUCCACGUGUGGGAUUUUGUAUGUACCAUAUGAAUAAGGAUCGGCUAACUCCGUGCCAGCAGCCGCGGUAAUACGGAGGAUCCGAGCGUUAUCCGGAUUUAUUGGGUUUAAAGGGAGCGUAGGUGGAUUGUUAAGUCAGUUGUGAAAGUUUGCGGCUCAACCGUAAAAUUGCAGUUGAAACUGGCAGUCUUGAGUACAGUAGAGGUGGGCGGAAUUCGUGGUGUAGCGGUGAAAUGCUUAGAUAUCACGAAGAACUCCGAUUGCGAAGGCAGUUCACUGAACUGCAACUGACACUGAGGCUCGAAAGUGUGGGUAUCAAACAGGAUUAGAUACCCGAGUAGUC